Molecule: ribosomal RNA, 448 nt
Filed under: Streptococcus thermophilus
Lineage: Bacteria; Bacillati; Bacillota; Bacilli; Lactobacillales; Streptococcaceae
Description: bacterial SSU rRNA
Rfam family: Bacterial small subunit ribosomal RNA
Source: RNAcentral
ACACAUGUAUGUAGAACGCUGAGAGAGGAGCUUGCUCUUCUUGGAUGAGUUGCGAACGGGUGAGUAACGCGUAGGUAACCUGCCUUGUAGCGGGGGAUAACUAUUGGAAACGAUAGCUAAUACCGCAUAACAAUGGAUGACACAUGUCAUUUAUUUGAAAGGGGCAAUUGCUCCACUACAAGAUGGACCUGCGUUGUAUUAGCUAGUAGGUGAGGUAAUGGCUCACCUAGGCGACGAUACAUAGCCGACCUGAGAGGGUGAUCGGCCACACUGGGACUGAGACACGGCCCAGACUCCUACGGGAGGCAGCAGUAGGGAAUCUUCGGCAAUGGGGGCAACCCUGACCGAGCAACGCCGCGUGAGUGAAGAAGGUUUUCGGAUCGUAAAGCUCUGUUGUAAGUCAAGAACGGGUGUGAGAGUGGAAAGUCACACUGUGACGGUAGCUUAC